GAUGAACGCUGGCGGCGUGCCUAAUACAUGCAAGUCGAACGCUGGAGAUCUAGCUUGCUAGAUCGAAGGAGUGGCGAACGGGUGAGUAAUACAUAAGCAACCUACCCACGAAGACUGGGAUAAUCUCUGGAAACGGGGACUAAUACCGGAUAGGUAAUCGGAAGGCAUCUUCUGGUUAUUAAAGGUUAAAAACACUGGUGGAUGGGCUUAUGGCGCAUUAGUUAGUUGGUGAGGUAACGGCCCACCAAGACGAUGAUGCGUAGCCGGCCUGAGAGGGUGAACGGCCACAUUGGGACUGAGACACGGCCCAGACUCCUACGGGAGGCAGCGGUAGGGAAUUUUCGGCAAUGGGGGCUACCCUGACCGAGCAACGCCGCGUGAGUGAAGACGGCCUUCGGGUUGUAAAGCUCUGUUGUAAGGGAAGAACGGUAGAUAGAGAAUAUCUAAGUGACGGUACCUUACCAGAAAGCCACGGCUAACUACGUG
This 486-nucleotide ribosomal RNA is filed under the name uncultured bacterium. Its description in RNAcentral is "partial 16S ribosomal RNA". It matches the Rfam family "Bacterial small subunit ribosomal RNA", at positions 28 to 507 of the family's 1533-position model. The record is from RNAcentral.